GAUGAACGCUAGCGGGAGGCCUAACACAUGCAAGCCGAGCGGUAUUUCUUCUUCGGAAGAGAGAGAGCGGCGCACGGGUGCGUAACACGUGUGCAACCUACCUUUAUCUGGGGGAUAGCCUUUCGAAAGGAAGAUUAACACCCCAUAAUAUAUUGAAUGGCAUCAUUUGAUAUUGAAAACUCCGGUGGAUAAAGAUGGGCACGCGCAAGAUUAGAUAGUUGGUGAGGUAACGGCUCACCAAGUCAAUGAUCUUUAGGGGUCCUGAGAGGGAGAUCCCCCACACUGGUACUGAGACACGGACCAGACUCCUACGGGAGGCAGCAGUGAGGAAUAUUGGACAAUGGGUGAAAGCCUGAUCCAGCCAUCCCGCGUGAAGGAUGACGGUCCUAUGGAUUGUAAACUUCUUUUGUACAGGAAUAAACCUACUCUCGUGAGAGUAGCUGAAGGUACUGUACGAAUAAGCACCGGCUAACUCCGUGCCAGCAGCCGCGGUAA
This 495-nucleotide ribosomal RNA is filed under the name uncultured bacterium. RNAcentral describes it as "partial 16S ribosomal RNA". It matches the Rfam family "Bacterial small subunit ribosomal RNA", at positions 28 to 523 of the family's 1533-position model. The record is from RNAcentral.